Molecule: ribosomal RNA, 2893 nt
Filed under: Escherichia coli
Lineage: Bacteria; Pseudomonadati; Pseudomonadota; Gammaproteobacteria; Enterobacterales; Enterobacteriaceae
Description: bacterial LSU rRNA
Rfam family: Bacterial large subunit ribosomal RNA
Source: RNAcentral
UUAAGCGACUAAGCGUACACGGUGGAUGCCCUGGCAGUCAGAGGCGAUGAAGGACGUGCUAAUCUGCGAUAAGCGUCGGUAAGGUGAUAUGAACCGUUAUAACCGGCGAUUUCCGAAUGGGGAAACCCAGUGUGAUUCGUCACACUAUCAUUAACUGAAUCCAUAGGUUAAUGAGGCGAACCGGGGGAACUGAAACAUCUAAGUACCCCGAGGAAAAGAAAUCAACCGAGAUUCCCCCAGUAGCGGCGAGCGAACGGGGAGCAGCCCAGAGCCUGAAUCAGUGUGUGUGUUAGUGGAAGCGUCUGGAAAGGCGCGCGAUACAGGGUGACAGCCCCGUACACAAAAAUGCACAUGCUGUGAGCUCGAUGAGUAGGGCGGGACACGUGGUAUCCUGUCUGAAUAUGGGGGGACCAUCCUCCAAGGCUAAAUACUCCUGACUGACCGAUAGUGAACCAGUACCGUGAGGGAAAGGCGAAAAGAACCCCGGCGAGGGGAGUGAAAAAGAACCUGAAACCGUGUACGUACAAGCGGGGGAGCACGCUUAGGCGUGUGACUGCGUACCUUUGUAUAAUGGGUCAGCGACUUAUAUUCUGUAGCAAGGUUAACCGAAUAGGGAGCCGAAGGAAACCGAGUCUUAACUGGGCGUUAAGUUGCAGGGUAUAGACCCGAAACCCGGUGAUCUAGCCAUGGGCAGGUUGAAGGUUGGGUAACACUAACUGGAGGACCGAACCGACUAAUGUUGAAAAAUUAGCGGAUGACUUGUGGCUGGGGGGUGAAAGGCCAAUCAAACCGGGAGAUAGCUGGUUCUCCCCGAAAGCUAUUUAGGUAGCGCCUCGUGAAUUCAUCUCCGGGGGUAGAGCACUGUUUCGGCAAGGGGGUCAUCCCGACUUACCAACCCGAUGCAAACUGCGAAUACCGGAGAAUGUUAUCACGGGAGACACACGGCGGGUGCUAACGUCCGUCGUGAAGAGGGAAACAACCCAGACCGCCAGCUAAGGUCCCAAAGUCAUGGUUAAGUGGGAAACGAUGUGGGAAGGCCCAGACAGCCAGGAUGUUGGCUUAGAAGCAGCCAUCAUUUAAAGAAAGCGUAAUAGCUCACUGGUCGAGUCGGCCUGCGCGGAAGAUGUAACGGGGCUAAACCAUGCACCGAAGCUGCGGCAGCGACACUAUGUGUUGUUGGGUAGGGGAGCGUUCUGUAAGCCUGUGAAGGUGUACUGUGAGGUAUGCUGGAGGUAUCAGAAGUGCGAAUGCUGACAUAAGUAACGAUAAAGCGGGUGAAAAGCCCGCUCGCCGGAAGACCAAGGGUUCCUGUCCAACGUUAAUCGGGGCAGGGUGAGUCGACCCCUAAGGCGAGGCCGAAAGGCGUAGUCGAUGGGAAACAGGUUAAUAUUCCUGUACUUGGUGUUACUGCGAAGGGGGGACGGAGAAGGCUAUGUUGGCCGGGCGACGGUUGUCCCGGUUUAAGCGUGUAGGCUGGUUUUCCAGGCAAAUCCGGAAAAUCAAGGCUGAGGCGUGAUGACGAGGCACUACGGUGCUGAAGCAACAAAUGCCCUGCUUCCAGGAAAAGCCUCUAAGCAUCAGGUAACAUCAAAUCGUACCCCAAACCGACACAGGUGGUCAGGUAGAGAAUACCAAGGCGCUUGAGAGAACUCGGGUGAAGGAACUAGGCAAAAUGGUGCCGUAACUUCGGGAGAAGGCACGCUGAUAUGUAGGUGAAGUCCCUCGCGGAUGGAGCUGAAAUCAGUCGAAGAUACCAGCUGGCUGCAACUGUUUAUUAAAAACACAGCACUGUGCAAACACGAAAGUGGACGUAUACGGUGUGACGCCUGCCCGGUGCCGGAAGGUUAAUUGAUGGGGUCAGCGCAAGCGAAGCUCUUGAUCGAAGCCCCGGUAAACGGCGGCCGUAACUAUAACGGUCCUAAGGUAGCGAAAUUCCUUGUCGGGUAAGUUCCGACCUGCACGAAUGGCGUAAUGAUGGCCAGGCUGUCUCCACCCGAGACUCAGUGAAAUUGAACUCGCUGUGAAGAUGCAGUGUACCCGCGGCAAGACGGAAAGACCCCGUGAACCUUUACUAUAGCUUGACACUGAACAUUGAGCCUUGAUGUGUAGGAUAGGUGGGAGGCUUUGAAGUGUGGACGCCAGUCUGCAUGGAGCCGACCUUGAAAUACCACCCUUUAAUGUUUGAUGUUCUAACGUGGACCCGUAAUCCGGGUUGCGGACAGUGUCUGGUGGGUAGUUUGACUGGGGCGGUCUCCUCCUAAAGAGUAACGGAGGAGCACGAAGGUUGGCUAAUCCUGGUCGGACAUCAGGAGGUUAGUGCAAUGGCAUAAGCCAGCUUGACUGCGAGCGUGACGGCGCGAGCAGGUGCGAAAGCAGGUCAUAGUGAUCCGGUGGUUCUGAAUGGAAGGGCCAUCGCUCAACGGAUAAAAGGUACUCCGGGGAUAACAGGCUGAUACCGCCCAAGAGUUCAUAUCGACGGCGGUGUUUGGCACCUCGAUGUCGGCUCAUCACAUCCUGGGGCUGAAGUAGGUCCCAAGGGUAUGGCUGUUCGCCAUUUAAAGUGGUACGCGAGCUGGGUUUAGAACGUCGUGAGACAGUUCGGUCCCUAUCUGCCGUGGGCGCUGGAGAAUUGAGGGGGGCUGCUCCUAGUACGAGAGGACCGGAGUGGACGCAUCACUGGUGUUCGUUGUCAUGCCAAUGGCACUGCCCGGUAGCUAAAUGCGGAAGAGAUAAGUGCUGAAAGCAUCUAAGCACGAAACUUGCCCGAGAUGAGUUCUCCCUGACUCCUUGAGAGUCCUGAAGGAACGUUGAAGACGACGACGUUGAUAGGCCGGUGUGUAAGCGCAGCGAUGCGUUGAGCUAACCGGUACUAAUGAACCGUGAGGCUUAACCU